Molecule: unclassified non-coding RNA, 220 nt
Filed under: fungal sp.
Lineage: Eukaryota; Fungi
Description: partial contains small subunit ribosomal RNA, internal transcribed spacer 1, and 5.8S ribosomal RNA
Rfam family: Eukaryotic small subunit ribosomal RNA (bases 1-47)
Source: RNAcentral
AAAGUCGUAACAAGGUUUCCGUAGGUGAACCUGCGGAAGGAUCAUUAUCGUGGGGGCUUCGGCCUCCUCGAGAUAGAACCCUUGCCUUUUUUGAGUACCUUCGUUUUCCUCGGCAGGCUCGCCUGCCAAUGGGGACCCCAAUAAACCCUUUGUAAUACCUGCAAUCGUCUGACAAAACAAACAAAAAUUAAAACUUUCAACAACGGAUCUCUUGGUUCUG